UGAAGAUCUAAGGAGGAAUUGUGGUGGUGGGAACAAAGUUGUCAGAACUCUGAGUGAUCCCUGUGCUUCUGUAGCUGGUCCCUCUGUCUGCGAGCUGGGUCAUGCCGAAUGCCAGCCAUGGUCUCACACAUCUGUCUCCUCACUAGACAGCAAGUGCUGCUACAAGUUGUGCAACGUGCUUAAACAUCACACGCCGAACAGGAGGCAGAGCCUGUCUAACUUCAAAGCACACACUCUUCACUCUGUUAAACUGAUGGAGGGGAAAAUGAACAAAACCAAGUGCCGGCUGCGUCCAGGCUGAGCUGGAGCAGGAAGGCCAUUACUGGAGAUCCCUGACUCCUGCCCAGCAUAUGAUGGAGGCCUGAGAAAAAAAUACACUAAGAGACAGAACUAAGAGAGAGACAGCAAGGUGCCAGGACAACCAAUGCCAG
This 431-nucleotide long non-coding RNA is filed under the name Heterocephalus glaber (naked mole-rat). RNAcentral's name for it is "lncRNA (ENSHGLG00100045892.1)". Lineage: Eukaryota; Metazoa; Chordata; Mammalia; Rodentia; Bathyergidae. The record is from RNAcentral.